GACCGCCUUCAAAUCAACAAAGCAUCAAUUAGAUUUAAUCAUCUCCAAAUCGAUCAAAUAUCGAUUAGAUCUACCUCCAGACCAGUUAGACGCCACUAGAUCUAGACUAACUAUUUGUAGAUCGACUGACACUGAUCAAAUUGGACUGCCUCCAAAUUGAUAAAGCGUCAAAUGAAUUCGAUCAUCUCCAGAUCAGCCAGAUGUUGAUCAGAUCUGACC
RNAcentral lists this long non-coding RNA (219 nucleotides) under Elaeis guineensis (African oil palm). RNAcentral's name for it is "long non-coding RNA (EGUI_LNC039186)". The record is from RNAcentral. Lineage: Eukaryota; Viridiplantae; Streptophyta; Magnoliopsida; Arecales; Arecaceae.